Long non-coding RNA from Oncorhynchus nerka (sockeye salmon), 1158 nucleotides. RefSeq lists it as uncharacterized. The transcript has 3 exons. Lineage: Eukaryota; Metazoa; Chordata; Actinopteri; Salmoniformes; Salmonidae. The record is from RefSeq and is a predicted model, not a curated record.
UUUUUGUUGUUUUUCACCUUAUAUAUUCACUUUGUAUGUUGUCUACCUCACUUGCUUUGGCAAUGUUAACACAUGUUUCCCAUGACAAUAAAGCCCUUGAAUUGAAUUGAAUUGAAUUGAGAGAGCGCGCGCAUCUCAUAGAUGAGAGAGAGAGAGAGCGCGCGCAUCUCAUUUCCCUCUCCCUUUUUUGUACCGAUAGUAGUAAGCUGUGUAAGUGACGCAUGUAAACGUGUAUAAGUAGUUCUGUGCAUAUAGUAAUAAUUAGUCUAUUUACUUUCGCUUUUAAGCAGGAUUUAUAAAGUAGCCUAAUGUAUAUACCGUAAAAAAUAAAAAAAAGUUACUUCUUUUUUACCGAGGAACCAAACCGUCUCCGAGUCCAAAAAAAAAAUAUGCUUUGAGCUGAAGCGCAACAUCCGCCCGUUGCCAUCAUGAAGACAGGCUGCGGGGUCGACGUCUGACAACACGCUCUCUAUCGUACGCCGGGCCCUGAUUGGAUGGAAUAACCACCUAUGACGUCAGGUGACCUCGAUUGAUCGCAGGAGGCGGAGCCUAGUGUCAACUCCGUGGAGUACACAGAGAGGUGACCACAACCCCCUGAUCCUGACCCUCCUCUACUUCAGGACUACAACAUCUCCCUAAAGAACUACAAUCCCCACAGAGAGUAUCACAGAGAAGGUGACCACAACCCCCUGAUCCUAACCCUCCUCUACUUCAGGACUACAACAUCUCCCUAAAGAACUUACAACCCCCACAGAGAGUAUCACAGAGAAGGUGACCACAACCCCCUGAUCCUAACCCUCCUCUGCUUCAGGACUACAACAUUUCCCUAAAGAACUACAAUCCCCACAGAGAGUAUCACAGAGAAGGUGACCACAACCCCCUGAUCCUAACCCUCCUCUACUUCAGGACUACAACAUCUCCCUAAAGAACUUACAACCCCCACAGAUAGUAUCACAGAGAAGGUGACCACAACCCCCUGAUCCUAAUGCUCCUCUGCUUCAGGACUACAACAUCUCCCUAAAGAACUACAAUCCCCACAGAGAGUAUCACAGAGAAGGUGACCACAACCCCCUGAUCCUAACCCUCCUCUACUUCAGGACUACAACGUCUCCCUAAAGAACUACAACCCCCUGAGCUCCACAGGACUACAACUUAACA